UGUUUGAUGUUCUAACGUGGACCCGUAAUCCGGGUUGCGGACAGUGUCUGGUGGGUAGUUUGACUGGGGCGGUCUCCUCCUAAAGAGUAACGGAGGAGCACGAAGGUUGGCUAAUCCUGGUCGGACAUCAGGAGGUUAGUGCAAUGGCAUAAGCCAGCUUGACUGCGAGCGUGACGGCGCGAGCAGGUGCGAAAGCAGGUCAUAGUGAUCCGGUGGUUCUGAAUGGAAGGGCCAUCGCUCAACGGAUAAAAGGUACUCCGGGGAUAACAGGCUGAUACCGCCCAAGAGUUCAUAUCGACGGCGGUGUUUGGCACCUCGAUGUCGGCUCAUCACAUCCUGGGGCUGAAGUAGGUCCCAAGGGUAUGGCUGUUCGCCAUUUAAAGUGGUACGCGAGCUGGGUUUAGAACGUCGUGAGACAGUUCGGUCCCUAUCUGCCGUGGGCGCUGGAGAACUGAGGGGGGCUGCUCCUAGUACGAGAGGACCGGAGUGGACGCAUCACUGGUGUUCGGGUUGUCAUGCCAAUGGCACUGCCCGGUAGCUAAAUGCGGAAGAGAUAAGUGCUGAAAGCAUCUAAGCACGAAACUUGCCCCGAGAUGAGUUCUCCCUGAGACUUUAGGUCUCCUGAAGGAACGUUGAAGACGACGACGUUGAUAGGCCGGGUGUGUAAGCGCAGCGAUGCGUUGAGCUAACCGGUACUAAUGAACCGUGAGGCUUAACCUUACAACGCCGAAG
RNAcentral lists this ribosomal RNA (732 nucleotides) under Salmonella enterica subsp. enterica serovar Typhimurium str. SL1344. RNAcentral's name for it is "partial 23S ribosomal RNA". It matches the Rfam family "Bacterial large subunit ribosomal RNA", at positions 2211 to 2925 of the family's 2925-position model. Lineage: Bacteria; Pseudomonadati; Pseudomonadota; Gammaproteobacteria; Enterobacterales; Enterobacteriaceae. The record is from RNAcentral.